Talpa occidentalis (Iberian mole) is the source of this 372-nucleotide long non-coding RNA. RefSeq lists it as uncharacterized. The transcript is spliced from 3 exons. The record is from RefSeq and is a predicted model, not a curated record. Lineage: Eukaryota; Metazoa; Chordata; Mammalia; Eulipotyphla; Talpidae.
CGCCUGGGCUCCUUCCAGGCUGCUGCAGGCCGCGUCCCGGGUGGGAACUGGUGCUCCAAUUUCCUCAACUGGAAAGAAGUGGAGACUUCAUUUCCUGUUUCAGCCCUGCUGCCAGGUUGUCCCGGCCUGCAGUGUGUGUUGCUGCCUGUGUGCAGACUCGCUCCCUGGUGAUCUCCAGCCUGCCGCUUCCAGCUGAGGCAGAAGGAAGGCGCAUUCUUGGGCCUAGGAGGUAAGAGAAGCCGCAAGCAAUACGAUGAAAGGGAAGGUUGUGUUCUCUUGAAAACCUCAUUGGAUGAUUCAGACCGUAGCUCAAGACCAAAACCUGGCCAAAGAUUUUGUGAUGAAUUUGGAAAUAUGAAUGGAGAAAUAUAC